UGGGGAAUUUUGCACAAUGGGGGAAACCCUGAUGCAGCGACGCCGCGUGAUUUAGAAGGCCUUCGGGUUGUAAAAAUCUUUUCUAUGGGAAGAAAAUGACAGUACCAUAGGAAUAAGGACCGGCUAAUUACGUGCCAGCAGCCGCGGUAAUACGUAAGGUCCGAGCGUUGUCCGGAAUUACUGGGCGUAAAGAGCUCGUAGGCGGUUUGUCACGUCGUCUGUGAAAUCCUAGGGCUUAACCCUGGACGUGCAGGCGAUACGGGCUGACUUGAGUACUACAGGGGAGACUGGAAUUUCUGGUGUAGCGGUGGAAUGCACAGAUAUCAGGAAGAACACCGAUGGCGAAGGCAGGUCUCUGAGUAGUAACUGACGCUGAGGAGCGAAAGCAUGGGUAGCGAACAGG
Molecule: ribosomal RNA, 403 nt
Filed under: bacterium
Lineage: Bacteria
Description: partial 16S ribosomal RNA
Rfam family: Bacterial small subunit ribosomal RNA
Source: RNAcentral